AUUGAACGCUGGCGGCAGGCCUAACACAUGCAAGUCGAGCGGAUGAAGGGAGCUUGCUCCUGGAUUCAGCGGCGGACGGGUGAGUAAUGCCUAGGAAUCUGCCUGGUAGUGGGGGAUAACGUCCGGAAACGGGCGCUAAUACCGCAUACGUCCUGAGGGAGAAAGUGGGGGAUCUUCGGACCUCACGCUAUCAGAUGAGCCUAGGUCGGAUUAGCUAGUUGGUGGGGUAAAGGCCUACCAAGGCGACGAUCCGUAACUGGUCUGAGAGGAUGAUCAGUCACACUGGAACUGAGACACGGUCCAGACACCUACGGGAGGCAGCAGUGGGGAAUAGUGGACAAUGGGCGAAAGCCUGAUCCAGCCAUGCCGCGUGUGUGAAGAAGGUCUUCGGAUUGUAAAGCACUUUAAGUUGGGAGGAAGGGCAGUAAGUUAAUACCUUGCUGUUUUGACGUUACCAACAGAAUAAGCACCGGCUAACUUCGU
This 483-nucleotide ribosomal RNA is filed under the name uncultured bacterium. Its description in RNAcentral is "partial 16S ribosomal RNA". It matches the Rfam family "Bacterial small subunit ribosomal RNA", at positions 30 to 506 of the family's 1533-position model. The record is from RNAcentral.